UGAAUAGCUCAAAGUCUAGUUAAGAUAUGCAUAUACUAGUGCAUGCACUCAAGAAAAAGAGACACACGAAUAAAGUAAUUACUAAUAAGCCAAAUAGAAAGUUAUCCUAUAUUUUAAUCUGAAAACAAUACUGAUCAUACAUAUUAGAGUAAAGCUAUCAGAUUAAGGCUACGUACUCAAUAGCUCCACCACUGUAGUUAAAAUCGCGAUCUUUCGGAUUUGCCGUCAAUUGCGAGGCACAAUCUCGCUGAAAAAUUGAUGUUGCUGUUGUUGUUGGGAUCACCAUGGGAAAAAGUAAGAACGUGAGAUCGUUACAAUUCUUGCGUUUCUAUUUCAAUUCCUCCCACAUGCUUUUCCCUCUCUGAGUUGCAGCUAUAUAUGCUAUUCUUCGCGUUUGUGACUUCUUCUUCUCAUUCCAACUAUUUGUUGUAGGGUGAAUGCUUCUUAAGGUAUGGAAGCAGUUGUUUUGGUUGAAGGCGAGGUUGAAGAAGGGGUACUCCAGAUGAAUAAAAAGGAAGUCCUAACUCCUGACGCUUAAUAUUCUCUGAUUAUUUGUGCUAAUGUCUGUAAGUAUUCUGGUCAGAAAAAUACUUAAUAAUUAAAUUUUAACUUAAAUAUAUUUUUUCUGACCAAUCACAACUCAUGGCACAUGGAG
Molecule: long non-coding RNA, 655 nt
Filed under: Lupinus angustifolius (narrow-leaved blue lupine)
Lineage: Eukaryota; Viridiplantae; Streptophyta; Magnoliopsida; Fabales; Fabaceae
Description: long non-coding RNA (LANG_LNC001776)
Source: RNAcentral